GGAGCACAAUUUCUCCUGUUAUCUGAGAAAUUAUUUCUAAUUUCAUUUUUUAUAGUUUUUAUAGCACUGGGUGCACUGACUGAUUUUUAUAACAGGAAAGUUCAUUGAUAAAAUGAAAGAAUCCUAGGGAACUUUAUGAGUUUAAUAACAGUUUUAAACAAAUUGAUAUUAAAGAAUAGGAAUAGCCCCAGUUUCCAGAAGACUGCCUCUCAUCAUUAUUUCUCUCUAGAACAUCUUGUUGGGCCAGUCACUGUUCUCAGAGAUAUGCUCAUUGAGGCUCUAUAACAGGAAGCCUAUACCAAAGCAUAGUCGAAGCAUCACAGGCAAAAUGGAAAAAACGGUCUGCGUAGGUAGACAUCUGCAGCAGGACAGAUUGGAGCCUUGGCACUGGCUUUCUUCAAUUCUAGUCUGCCAUGAAAGAGUAAAAGCCCAUGCUGUAUUUGCAGUUUAUAAUAGCUGUGGGCUUGGGGGGGGGCAGAGCUGUUGGCUAGGUCCAUUAUUUCUCCCUGGGGCUUACUUGCUGUCCUGUAUCAUUGGCCUCAUCCACUAUCAGGGCAGUUGGUUGGUCAAUGGCUCUGCUGUCCAGUGUGGAAGGGGAAACAAAACACAGAACAGGCUUGAGUGGUUGUGGCUAGGAUGCCAGCAAAUGUAUUUUAAUUAAAAAUUAGUUCAUGACUGGUGUUAUAGUUUGGAUAUUAAAUGUCCUCCAAAGACCCAUGUGUUACAGACCAAGCUUGGUGUUCAGGGUGGCACUAUUGGGAGGUGGUGGAACCUUUAAGGAAUCUUUAGGUUAUUGAGGUGUGUACCUUUGAAGGAGAUCAUAAGACUGAAGCUCCCUCCUUUCCCUCUCUUAUUUUACUUUGUGACCUUGAAGUGUGUGGUUUCCUCUAUCACAUGUUCCCUACCAUGAUGUGCUGUGUCAUUACUGGCCAAAAAUCAAUGAGCAUAUCCCAUCAUAGACUGGAAUCUCUAUAACUAUAAGUGAUAAGAAUUACGUAUGUAAUUUAUAUAAAAUUUUUUUCUGGUACUAGGGACUGAGUCCUGGGCCUUGGUGCUAAGCUUUAUCCCUAAAUUUCAAUUUCUUUCUCUCCUUUUUUCUGUCAUUCUUUCUUUCUUUCCUUCUAAAUUUUUUCUAGCUUAAAGACUCUUUUUUCAUCACAGGUGCAGUUGUGGUAUCAGUGGCCAAAUAAAAGCCACAAGAUUCAUCUCCUAAAAAAUGUUAGCAUCUACUUGAAAAGUUGAGUGAUUUUAAGGAAUGUAUCCCAAUAGAGAAGGUUGUUAACAUUUUGUUCUUCUAUUCCUAAGAAGCUAAAACUGACUAUGGGCACAGGAAAUACCCAAGGGGAUUUACUGUGCUCUCUCAGCCCUCUCCAGUCUACACUUGUCUUUUGGGAGUGAGCCAGCAUGGAGGAGGAAUAGGCUAAGCUUGGUCAUCCUGGUCUAGCCAUCCUUUAGUCAACUUGAUUCCAGUUGAGACAAGAGCAGCUCAGCAGAGCACAUGCCAACUUGAUGGCCUAAAGAAUUAAAACCACAGACUGAAAAGAAUUGUAUUCGGCUCACAUUUCUGGAGGCUAGAUCGCCCAAGAUGAGGGGGCUGCAUCUGGGGAGGUCCCUGCUGUUGCACUGUGACAUGGGGAACAGCAUCACAUGGUGAGAGGAAGAAAGCAAGAGAGAGCUGAACCUGCCUGUAUUAUCAGGACCACACCCACCAAAACCAUCUCAAUUUUUCAUGACAGCGAGAGUCCUCAUGACCUAAUCCCUGUUGGAGAUUCACUGUUACUUUGAGCAUUGUUUCCAGCACAUGAACCUGCAGGACCCACUCAAACCAUAUCCCUCUCUCUCUUAUCUGGGACUC
Molecule: long non-coding RNA, 1855 nt
Organism: Heterocephalus glaber (naked mole-rat)
Lineage: Eukaryota; Metazoa; Chordata; Mammalia; Rodentia; Bathyergidae
Source: RefSeq, a predicted model, not a curated record